Molecule: ribosomal RNA, 774 nt
Filed under: uncultured Neocallimastigales
Lineage: Eukaryota; Fungi; Neocallimastigomycota; Neocallimastigomycetes; Neocallimastigales
Description: partial large subunit ribosomal RNA
Rfam family: Eukaryotic large subunit ribosomal RNA
Source: RNAcentral
CUAUACAUGACUCUGCGCAUAUCAAUAAGCGGAGGAAAAGAAACUAACAAGGAUUCCCCUAGUAACGGCGAGUGAAGCGGGAAGAGCUCAAAUUUGAAAUCUUAAAGGGUUUCCCUUUACGGAUUGUAGUUUAAAGAAGUGUUUUCUGUUGAGGUUUUGGUAAAAGUUCUUUGGAAUAGGACAUCAUAGAGGGUGAGAAUCCCGUAUUUGACCUUUACUUUCAACUUUGUGAUACACUUUCAAAGAGUCGGAUUGUUUGGGAAUGCAGUCCAAAAUGGGUGGUAAAUUUCAUCUAAAGCUAAAUAUUGGCGAGAGACCGAUAGCGAACAAGUACCGUGAGGGAAAGAUGAAAAGAACUUUGAAAAGAGAGUUAAACAGUACGUGAAAUUGUCAAAAGGGAAGCGUUUGACACCAGUGUUGUUUUUCUGAAAAUCAAUUAAAGAACUGUUUAUGCUAAGUUGUUUAGACUUUAUCAGCUAACUGUUUAGUUUUGAGCUUUUCUUUAAUGCACUUUUCAGUUAACAAGUCAACAUCAAUUUCUUUUGCUGUAAAAAAGCUUGAGGAAGGUGGCUUGAGAUUCGUCUUAAGUGUUUAUAGCCUCUUGCCUAUGCAGUCGGAGAGAUUGAGGUCUGCAGCGUAGAUCCUUCGGGGCUAAAUGCAUUUGUGCUAAGUUAUAGCAUUUUAUAGACAACUUGUUGACUAUGAUUUGUCUUGUAGCUUACUCGCUUAUGUUAUUUUACCUACGCUUAGGAUGUUGAUCUACAGAGCGAGAGU